UGGGGGAUAUUGCACAAUGGGCGAAAGCCUGAUGCAGCGACGCCGCGUGGGGGAUGAAGGCUUUCGGGUUGUAAACCUCUUUCGCUAUCGAACAAGGCCCGCUUAGGGUGGGUUGAGGGUAGGUGGAGAAGAAGCGCCGGCUAACUACGUGCCAGCAGCCGCGGUAAUACGUAGGGCGCGAGCGUUGUCCGGAAUUAUUGGGCGUAAAGGGCUUGUAGGCGGCUUGUUGCGCCUGCUGUGAAAACGCGGGGCUUAACUUCGCGCGUGCAGUGGGUACGGGCAGGGUUGAGUGUGGUAGGGGUGACUGGAAUUCCAGGGGUAGCGUUGGAAUGCGCAGAUAUCUGGAGGAACACCGAUGGCGAAGGCAGGUCACUGGGCCAUUACUGACGCUGAGGAGCGAAAGCAUGGGUAGCGAACAGG
RNAcentral lists this ribosomal RNA (420 nucleotides) under bacterium. Its description in RNAcentral is "partial 16S ribosomal RNA". It matches the Rfam family "Bacterial small subunit ribosomal RNA", at positions 355 to 776 of the family's 1533-position model. The record is from RNAcentral.